Molecule: ribosomal RNA, 481 nt
Filed under: uncultured bacterium
Lineage: Bacteria
Description: partial 16S ribosomal RNA
Rfam family: Bacterial small subunit ribosomal RNA (bases 70-481)
Source: RNAcentral
GGGGGGGGGGGGGGGGGGGGGGGGGGGGGGCAGGGCGGGGGGGGGGUGCGGGGGGGGGUUUUCGGGUGGGGGGCGGGGAUUGUGCGUGGCGGGCGGGUGGGGGACGCGGGGGCGACGUGCCCUAUAGAGGGGGGUAGGCGCUGGACACGGCUGGUCAGACCUGCUAAGUCGGUUAAAUCUCCUUCUUGUCUCGGGGCAUGAGCAAUCCGGUAUCGGAUGGGCCCGCGUCCGCUUAGCCAGUUGGCCGGGUAAAGGCCUCCCAAAGCGACGGUCGGUAGCCGGACUGAGAGGUCGGACGGCCACAUUGGGACUGAGACACGGCCCAAACUCCUACGGGAGGCAGCAGUGGGGGAUAUUGCACAAUGGAGGAAACUCUGAUGCAGCGACGCCGCGUGAGUGAAGAAGUAUUUCGGUAUGUAAAGCUCUAUCAGCAGGGAAGAUGAUGACGGUACCUGACGAAGAAGCCCCGGCUAACUACGUG